AGCGAACGCUGGCGGUAGGCCUAACACAUGCAAGUCGAACGGCAGCACAGUAAGAGCUUGCUCUUACGGGUGGCGAGUGGCGGACGGGUGAGGAAUACAUCGGAAUCUACUUUUUCGUGGGGGAUAACGUAGGGAAACUUACGCUAAUACCGCAUACGACCUACGGGUGAAAGCAGGGGAUCUUCGGACCUUGCGCGAUUGAAUGAGCCGAUGUCGGAUUAGCUAGUUGGCGGGGUAAAGGCCCACCAAGGCGACGAUCCGUAGCUGGUCUGAGAGGAUGAUCAGCCACACUGGCACUGAGACACGGUCCAGACUCCUACGGGAGGCAGCAGUGGGGAAUAUUGGACAAUGGGCGCAAGCCUGAUCCAGCCCUACCGCGUGGGUGAAGAAGGCCUUCGGGUUGUAAAGCCCUUUUGUUGGGAAAGAAAAGCAGCAGGUUAAUACCCCGCUGUUCUGACGGUACCCAAAGAAUAAGCCCCGGCUAACUUCGUG
Molecule: ribosomal RNA, 492 nt
Filed under: uncultured bacterium
Lineage: Bacteria
Description: partial 16S ribosomal RNA
Rfam family: Bacterial small subunit ribosomal RNA
Source: RNAcentral